Poecilia reticulata (guppy) is the source of this 346-nucleotide non-coding RNA. Lineage: Eukaryota; Metazoa; Chordata; Actinopteri; Cyprinodontiformes; Poeciliidae. The record is from RefSeq and is a predicted model, not a curated record.
GAGGAAGGACAACAUCAGCUGGGAUGUUAGGGCAGCGGCAAGAACACGACAGGUCUGAGAAACUAUGGACAAACUUUGAAGGAAAUACAAAAUAAAGGGGAUGCCAUCUCCUUUGGUCAUUGUACACAGACGUGUCAAAUCAAAAGAAAAAGAGAGGAGGAAAUUACUGCAGGACGUCAGACCGGCAGCGAUAAAGCCGACAUGCUGUCUGAGAACUUUGACUCAUGGGCAAAGGUAUCAGGAAGUCAUUCAUGAGGUCUGACGUGAGUCUUAAAGUAAACACUGUGGCUUAAUUUCACUGGAAAGCUUCUACUUUUGGAUCAGUAAAAAAAAAAAAAAAAAAAAA